CAAUAGCGUAUAUUAAAGUUGUUGCAGUUAAAAAGCUCGUAGUUGAAUUUCGGGUCCCCGCGCUCGGCGCUUCAUUGUGCCGUCGUGGUGUCCCUCCUCGCCGUAAGGCGUCCUUUACUGUGAAAAAAUUAGAGUGUUCAAAGCAGGCAAUCGCUUGAAUACAUUAGCAUGGAAUAAUAAGAUAGGAUCUUGUCUAUUUUGUUGGUUGCGGACAACGAUAAUGAUUAAUAGGGAUAGUUGGGGGUGUCCGCAUUGAGCUGUCAGAGGUGAAAUUCUUGGAUUUGCUCAAGACGAACUACUGCGAAAGCAUUCACCAAGGAUGUUUUCAUUAA
This 332-nucleotide ribosomal RNA is filed under the name uncultured eukaryote. RNAcentral's name for it is "partial 18S ribosomal RNA". It matches the Rfam family "Eukaryotic small subunit ribosomal RNA", at positions 592 to 976 of the family's 1831-position model. The record is from RNAcentral.